This 947-nucleotide long non-coding RNA is filed under the name Lathyrus oleraceus (garden pea). Its description in RNAcentral is "Pisum sativum (pea) long non-coding RNA (PSAT_LNC032407)". The record is from RNAcentral. Lineage: Eukaryota; Viridiplantae; Streptophyta; Magnoliopsida; Fabales; Fabaceae.
GAAUGAGCCGAAUGAAGAGUUUUAGAGAGAGAAGCUCUCUCCUCUCUCUAAAAGUAGGGGUUUCCUUGUUUGGUGAGCGACGUCUCCCCUCUUGUAGGGGUUCCUCCUCCGUCAUCGGAGCUCCUCUAUGCCAAUAUGGAGGUUGUCUCCUCUUCAAUGGAUGCUUCUCCCCCAUUGUAAGUUUUUCUUCCUUCCUUCUUACUUCUUUGAAUCACUCGUCUCUGUUAGAUCCAUGUCUUAGUCUACCUCAAACCUCCAUCAAGUUUUUCCUCCUCUCUGUCAAUAACCAUCGAAUGCUUGCAACUCCAAAAUCAUUUUCACCAACCAAUGAGCCAAAGUGGUACGGACAUGAAAAACGACCUCCAUCAAAGCCUCCACCACCAAAAACUAUGAAAUUUCUGAGAUUUCGUGUCUUUGUACCUGUAAUAGUUACAGUUAUUGUGUUUGUGUUGUUCAUGUUUGUUCUAUUUUUUGUAUGUGUUGUUCUGUGGUUUAGGUUGUUCUUAUGUUUAAGUUGUUUUAAGUUUGUCUUCAUGAUAUUUGAUGAAAUGCCUCAAAGAAGUUUGGAUGAAGGAGAUGUGUUUUUGAGUGAAAAGCUAACAAAUGAUGUUACAAAUCAAACUCUCAUUUCCAGUCAACAAAUGAUUCCUCUACAAAUUAUGAGUUUAAUCAAACUUGAGAAUUUGUAUAAUCGAACUGUGCGUCUCAAAGUUAAAGAAAUAAUCUGUAAUUUGAUAUAUUUAAAGAUUGUGGUUCCUAAACUCGCUUAUCACAUGUGGAAUAAUUUUGUUAGUUGUCCGGAUUAAGAAAAUGAUGUGUAAUUGGAUUAAUAACUCUCUAUCAAUUUCUAAAUUUUCAAAAUUUAUUGAUAUCCAUAAUUUGAUUGAUUUAAUUAUUAGUAUUGUUUUUGAAAUGUGGAUGAGAAAUAUCCUAACAUAAUAUCUUUC